This 203-nucleotide long non-coding RNA is filed under the name Elaeis guineensis (African oil palm). Its description in RNAcentral is "long non-coding RNA (EGUI_LNC039239)". The record is from RNAcentral. Lineage: Eukaryota; Viridiplantae; Streptophyta; Magnoliopsida; Arecales; Arecaceae.
GAGAGUCGUUCGGGCUUGAUCCACCUAAAAACAACCGAUUGGGGCUAAGCCAAUCAUGACUACGAAGAGAGGAAAGAAGACUCAUGGAAGGAGUCUUCUUCUUCCUCAUCUCCGAUUCCUUGGGGUUGAAAUUGAAGUCCUAGAGCCAUUGGGACCCUAGGGCUCCUUUAUAAAGCCAUUUCACCGCUCUCUAAAGUGGUCCA